AUAUUUAUAUGGUAAUAAGAAUUUUUAAUAAAAAAACUUUAUGUAUUUAAUUAAUAGUUUAUUUAUAGAAGUUUUAUUUUUUAAUUUUAAAUAUUUAAAAUUAGUUUUUUAAUAAGUUCUGGCGAAGCCUGUGCCAGCCGCCGCGGUUAUUCAGGCAGAGUAAAAAUUCUAUUUUUAAUUAAAAAAGUAUUUUUGUUUUUUUUAAAAAAAAGAAGGUAAAAUUUUUUUUUUUAGUUUUAUGUUAAUUGUUUUUUAUAAAUUUAUUCAUAAACUAGGAUUAGAUACCCUAUUAUUGUUAUAGUGUAAAAUUGGGAGUAAUUUUUAGGUUAUUAAAUCUUAAGAUUUUGGCGGUAUUCUAAGCUUUUUAGAGGAAUUCAUUCUUUAAUUGAUGAAACUCAAAAAUCUUACUUGAUUUAGUCAUAACAGUUUGUAUAUCGCUAUCAUUUAUAAUUAUAUUAUUUGGUUAUGAUUUUGGUUAAUAUUUUUAAGAAUUUUAGGUCAAAAUGCAGCAUAAGAUUAAGGUUGAAAUGGGUUACAGUUAUUUAUAUAUGGUUUGUUUGAAAUUUUAUAUAGGAUUUAAUAGUAAAUUAAAAUUAUAAUGUUUAAUUGAAUUUAGCUCUAGGAUAUGCACAUAUCGCCCGUCGCUCUCACUUGUGAGAUAAGUCGUAACAAAGUAAAAGUACCGGAAGGUGUUUU
RNAcentral lists this non-coding RNA (696 nucleotides) under Ornithodoros parkeri. Lineage: Eukaryota; Metazoa; Arthropoda; Arachnida; Ixodida; Argasidae. The record is from RNAcentral.